This 492-nucleotide ribosomal RNA is filed under the name uncultured bacterium. Its description in RNAcentral is "partial 16S ribosomal RNA". It matches the Rfam family "Bacterial small subunit ribosomal RNA", at positions 29 to 507 of the family's 1533-position model. The record is from RNAcentral.
AGUGAACGCUGGCGGUAGGCCUAACACAUGCAAGUCGAACGGCAGCACAGUAAGAGCUUGCUCUUACGGGUGGCGAGUGGCGGACGGGUGAGGAAUACAUCGGAAUCUACUUUUUCGUGGGGGAUAACGUAGGGAAACUUACGCUAAUACCGCAUACGACCUACGGGUGAAAGCAGGGGAUCUUCGGACCUUGCGCGAUUGAAUGAGCCGAUGUCGGAUUAGAUAGUUGGCGGGGUAAAGGCCCACCAAGGCGACGAUCCGUAGCUGGUCUGAGAGGAUGAUCAGCCACACUGGAACUGAGACACGGUCCAGACUCCUACGGGAGGCAGCAGUGGGGAAUAUUGGGCAAUGGGCGCAAGCCUGAUCCAGCCAUACCGCGUGGGUGAAGAAGGCCUUCGGGUUGUAAAGCCCUUUUGUUGGGAAAGAAAAGCAGCAGGUUAAUACCCCGCUGUUCUGACGGUACCCAAAGAAUAAGCACCGGCUAACUUCGUG